GAUCAUGGCUCAGAGCGAACGCUGGCGGCAGGCUUAACACAUGCAAGUCGAGCGGAUGUAGCAAUACAUCAGCGGCAGACGGGUGAGUAACACGUGGGAACGUACCUUUUGGUUCGGAACAACACAGGGAAACUUGUGCUAAUACCGGAUAAGCCCUUACGGGGAAAGAUUUAUCGCCGAAAGAUCGGCCCGCGUCUGAUUAGCUAGUUGGUGAGGUAAUGGCUCACCAAGGCGACGAUCAGUAGCUGGUCUGAGAGGAUGAUCAGCCACAUUGGGACUGAGACACGGCCCAAACUCCUACGGGAGGCAGCAGUGGGGAAUAUUGGACAAUGGGCGCAAGCCUGAUCCAGCCAUGCCGCGUGAGUGAUGAAGGCCCUAGGGUUGUAAAGCUCUUUUGUGCGGGAAGAUAAUGACGGUUC
Molecule: ribosomal RNA, 419 nt
Filed under: bacterium Ellin249
Lineage: Bacteria; Pseudomonadati; Pseudomonadota; Alphaproteobacteria; Hyphomicrobiales; Nitrobacteraceae
Description: bacterial SSU rRNA
Rfam family: Bacterial small subunit ribosomal RNA
Source: RNAcentral